UAGGGAAUCUUCCACAAUGGACGCAAGUCUGAUGGAGCAACGCCGCGUGAGUGAAGAAGGUCUUCGGAUCGUAAAACUCUGUUGUUAGAGAAGAACACGGAGUGAGAGUAACUGUUCAUUCGAUGACGGUAUCUAACCAGCAAGUCACGGCUAACUACGUGCCAG
This 165-nucleotide ribosomal RNA is filed under the name uncultured bacterium. Its description in RNAcentral is "partial 16S rRNA". It matches the Rfam family "Bacterial small subunit ribosomal RNA", at positions 355 to 511 of the family's 1533-position model. The record is from RNAcentral.